This 466-nucleotide ribosomal RNA is filed under the name uncultured bacterium. Its description in RNAcentral is "partial 16S ribosomal RNA". It matches the Rfam family "Bacterial small subunit ribosomal RNA", at positions 28 to 507 of the family's 1533-position model. The record is from RNAcentral.
GAUGAACGCUGGCGGCGUGCUUAACACAUGCAAGUCGAACGAUGAAGCCCAGCUUGCUGGGUGGAUUAGUGGCGAACGGGUGAGUAACACGUGAGUAACCUGCCCUUGACUCUGGGAUAAGCCUGGGAAACUGGGUCUAAUACUGGAUAUGACUUCUCAUCGCAUGGUGGGGGGUGGAAAGAUUUAUCGGUCUUGGAUGGACUCGCGGCCUAUCAGCUUGUUGGUGAGGUAAUGGCUCACCAAGGCGACGACGGGUAGCCGGCCUGAGAGGGUGACCGGCCACACUGGGACUGAGACACGGCCCAGACUCCUACGGGAGGCAGCAGUGGGGAAUAUUGCACAAUGGGCGCAAGCCUGAUGCAGCGACGCCGCGUGAGGGAUGACGGCCUUCGGGUUGUAAACCUCUUUCAGUAGGGAAGAAGCGAGAGUGACGGUACCUGCAGAAGAAGCGCCGGCUAACUACGUG